AGUGAACGCUGGCGGUAGGCCUAACACAUGCAAGUCGAACGGCAGCACAGUAAGAGCUUGCUCUUACGGGUGGCGAGUGGCGGACGGGUGAGGAAUACAUCGGAAUCUACUUUUUCGUGGGGGAUAACGUAGGGAAACUUGCGCUAAUACCGCAUACGACCUACGGGUGGAAGCAGGGGAUCUUCGGACCUUGCGCGAUUGAAUGAGCCGAUGUCGGAUUAGCUAGUUGGCGGGGUAAAGGCCCACCAAGGCGACGAUCCGUAGCUGGUCUGAGAGGAUGAUCAGCCACACUGGAACUGAGACACGGUCCAGACUCCUACGGGAGGCAGCAGUGGGGAAUAUUGGACAAUGGGCGCAAGCCUGAUCCAGCCAUACCGCGUGGGUGAAGAAGGCCUUCGGGUUGUAAAGCCCUUUUGUUGGGAAAGAAAAGCAGCAGGUUAAUACCCCGCUGUUCUGACGGUACCCAAAGAAUAAGCACCGGCUAACUUCGU
RNAcentral lists this ribosomal RNA (491 nucleotides) under uncultured bacterium. Its description in RNAcentral is "partial 16S ribosomal RNA". It matches the Rfam family "Bacterial small subunit ribosomal RNA", at positions 29 to 506 of the family's 1533-position model. The record is from RNAcentral.